GGUUGCCUACGGGGGGCAGCAGUGAGGAAUAUUGGUCAAUGGCCGGAAGGCUGAACCAGCCAGGGCGCGUGAGGGAAUAAGGCCCUAUGGGUCGUAAACCUCUUUUGUCAGGGAGCAAAGGCGUCCACGUGUGGACGAGGGGAGAGUACCUGAAGAAAAAGCUUCGGCUAACUCCGUGCCAGCAGCCGCGGUAAUACGGAGGAUGCGAGCGUUAUCCGGAUUUAUUGGGUGUAAAGGGUGCGUAGGCGGAGGGUCAAGUCAGCGGUAAAAUUUCGGGGCUCAACCCCGUCGUGCCGUUGAA
This 301-nucleotide ribosomal RNA is filed under the name uncultured bacterium. RNAcentral's name for it is "bacterial SSU rRNA". It matches the Rfam family "Bacterial small subunit ribosomal RNA", at positions 333 to 631 of the family's 1533-position model. The record is from RNAcentral.